CAGUCGCCACGGUAAUACGAAGGGUGCAAGCGUUAAUCGGAAUUACUGGGCGUAAAAGGCGUGUAGGCGGCCUGGGGCGUCCCAUGUGAAAGGCCACGGCUCAACCGUGGAGGAGCGUGGGAUACGCUCAGGCUAGAGGGUGGGAGAGGGUGGUGGAAUUCCCGGAGUAGCGGUGAAAUGCGCAGAUACCGGGAGGAACGCCGAUGGCGAAGGCAGCCACCUGGUCCACUUCUGACGCUGAGGCGCGAAAGCGUGGGGAGCAAACAGGAUUAGAUACCCGGGUAGUCCCUGUCUCUUAUAC
Molecule: ribosomal RNA, 301 nt
Filed under: uncultured bacterium
Lineage: Bacteria
Description: partial 16S ribosomal RNA
Rfam family: Bacterial small subunit ribosomal RNA
Source: RNAcentral